Molecule: long non-coding RNA, 1755 nt
Organism: Quercus robur (English oak)
Lineage: Eukaryota; Viridiplantae; Streptophyta; Magnoliopsida; Fagales; Fagaceae
Exons: 4
Source: RefSeq, a predicted model, not a curated record
AAUGUUUAUUGUUAGUGUUUUUAAGUUUGUUGGGCUUCCCAUUCACCCGAGCUCUAUGUUCGAAGGAUGGGAGAGUAAAAGAGAGGAGAAUAAGGGAAAAAGUGACCAAAAUAAACUAUAAAGUUAAAUAGUAACUAAACAAAAUGAAACAAAUUAGUCAGAAAACUCAAAAUACCUAGCUGCUGCACUCCAAGUUUACAAAGUACAAUAGUGGUUUCUGUGACAAUGAUUUGCUUGCCAUUAUUUUAACAAAAACCAAAACCUCUAUAAUGGCUAUUCACAAAAAUUAAAGCCAUUAGAAAAGGAAAUCAAGGAAGAUGAUUGUCCAUUUCAGGGGGUAUAAUUUCUGGCUCAUGAUGUGCCCCAAGCUUUAGAAUUAUGGAAUAAAAUCCGCUAUAAUUUUUAGAGUAAUUCUGUGGAUUAUAUAAACUAUAUUUAUUUAUUGAGAAAUUAGUUUGUUGAAACUUACAUUUAGGAGAAAAACAAUUCCUAUUUGAAACUUGAAAGAUAGAGAAUGGGAAGGGGGAAAUGAAAAUGAAGGCAGAUGAAAGUUUUCCCCUAUUAUUAUUUUUUGAAAUGGUUAGAAAUCUCUUAAGCUUUAGACCAAUUGGGUCAUUGGCAUUUUACACUAUUUCCAGCGCUGCUUGUAUUGUAUCUUGUUCAAUCUUUUUGAUUAUUGAUAAUAUGGCCUACUUUUUUCAUUUCUCUCAUUAGUAGGGACCAUAUUCAUCUAUUUGGGCUUCUGUUGAUUCAAGAUGAACUAGCAAACGCUAUAAUAUAUUGCAAACAUUAAUAUAGAUUCUGUUUUAUUACUUCUUAGUCCCUCUUGUGGAAGUUUCUCUUUGAAGUUUGAUAUGCAUAAGGUAAUUGCUUUAUGUUAGUUUUGAAUGCAGCUUGGUUGAUGAUUUUUGCCUAACUGAACUUUUUGAAUGUCAGAAAAAGCGUGGUGCUAGAAAGACCGUACUGGUGAAGAAGAAACAUGGCAACUAUCACGUUUUUACCCCACGAUUGAGGAACUUAUUGAAAAACUUCACAAAGGUGAACUGUCAAAAGAUGAUUACCCAUGUUUGAAUGACCCGAGUCAAACUUUUCAUGGGACGUCUCAGACUGCUGCAAUAAAUCAUGCUUCAAUUGCUAAUCCAGCUCAAUCAAAGCAGACACAUAAAUGGGCUCGGCCUCGGAACUCUAAUGAUGGGUAUUCAAGUGAUUCAAUUCUAAGACAUGCAUCUAGCGAUUUCUAGAAGAUGGGCCAACGGAUUUUUGUAUUCAUCAUUGGUGGAGCUACUAGAUCUGAGAGUUUGUCACAAGCUUACAACUAAAUUGAAGAGGGAAGUUGUUCUGGGCUCAUCAAGUAUUGAUGAUCCUCCACAAUUUAUUACAGUGAUUAAUUUCAGUUCCAUUUUUGAUUUAGCAACUCCACCUCUUAUUUUCCCGACCAACUAAACCUUAAAAAUUCAUUUUUGAUUGCAAAAAUUGAAGAUGCUGAUAGCACAUGAGCUUUCAAUAAAUGGUCUCCAGAUCUAAAACAUGGGGGUGGCUUUAGGAGGCCCAGUGUUUUCUAUACUCCGGUCCUCAAUCCAAUUUGUAACCAUAGAUAACAUCAUUUCAUUGUAUCCAUUUUUUAACAUUCAAUAUAGAACCAUUCAUUUGGCAAUGGCAGUGGUUCUGUAUCUUUUCAUAUUUCAGAUGAGCAUCUCCCUAGCCUAGCCUCUUGCUUUUUGGCUUUGUAGUGUAAUUGACAUGGUUUUGCCAUUA